This 71-nucleotide transfer RNA is filed under the name Paracladura trichoptera. RNAcentral describes it as "tRNA-Lys". Lineage: Eukaryota; Metazoa; Arthropoda; Insecta; Diptera; Trichoceridae. The record is from RNAcentral.
CAUUUAAUGACUGAAAGCAAGUAAUGGUCUCUUAAACCAUAUAAUAGUAAUUUAGCAAUUACUUUAAAUGA